UUUCAGUGCUACUAGAGUGUAGGCCGAAUUGGGGUUCGAUGCUAUUCGCUGCACGCUUGUGUGUUCUGUCGUAGUGCUCGUGAUAGUACAUUGCGCAUAUUCAGGACUACAAACUGCCUCGUAUGACAUUACAGGUCCUCAACCUGGGCAACCUACUAUUGUCUUCGUUUGCACCAAGAGAGCAGACAUCUGCCCACCCCCAUCGCAUUUCCCUGCUGGCACUGAACGGGGUCUUCCUGGUUGACAUCCUCUCAACCAACACAGCCUCGCCUUUGCAAAGGGGCGGUAACACCUGGACCAUGGACUGCAAAACCAGGAACCACUGACAAGGAGGUGCACCGCCAGCAAUUCGUCAAGGACUACUGAAAUAACUAUCAUCGCUGCGAGCUUCGCUAGUGGCACCAAGUUGGCAGCUCUGCAUCUGGCGCACACAAUGGAUGAUCUCGCAGGUCCUUCGUGUAUUUCAUCCAGUUCUUACUCUACCAAAGACGACGUCCAUGGUUUGACCGUCCCUCAUCCGACAGUUUCUUCUCCCUGCUGGUGCCCACUGCGUUCUCUUAAAGGACCUUUGCUCGACGAUCUGCAGUCACUUGCCUUGCCAACCUCUGCAUCUCGUGCUUGCAACCAACGAUCUCGCCGGUCCUUUGCGUACAUCGUCUAGUCUUUGCUUCAUGAACUUCCUUGGUCUAACAGCCUUCAGACGAGUAUUUGAUCUCUCCGCUUGGUGGUCUGCAGUGACUCGGGCA
Long non-coding RNA from Rhipicephalus sanguineus (brown dog tick), 746 nucleotides. RefSeq lists it as uncharacterized. The record is from RefSeq and is a predicted model, not a curated record. NCBI's taxonomy places the organism in Eukaryota, Metazoa, Arthropoda, Arachnida, Ixodida, Ixodidae. The transcript has 4 exons.